RNAcentral lists this transfer RNA (67 nucleotides) under Pseudorimula sp. RSIO35641. RNAcentral's name for it is "tRNA-Ser". Lineage: Eukaryota; Metazoa; Mollusca; Gastropoda; Lepetellida; Lepetodrilidae. The record is from RNAcentral.
AGGAAAAAUAGGCUUAAAGCGGGGCUGCUAACUUUGCUUUGGGUAGUUCAACUCUAUCCUUUUCCUU